Molecule: long non-coding RNA, 1403 nt
Filed under: Cyanistes caeruleus (blue tit)
Lineage: Eukaryota; Metazoa; Chordata; Aves; Passeriformes; Paridae
Description: lncRNA (ENSCCEG00000024385.1)
Source: RNAcentral
CAAGAACAAAGCCCUGGCUCUCUGAGUUCACCUCUGGAAGUUUGGUGUCUGUGCCAGAGGUUUGCUGUGGGGCUCAGGGAAGAUGCAGAAACAUCAGGUGGAGAUCACACAUCCUCCCCAGCUCACAUCCAGGGAUGUGAGAUGCCCCCAAAACCCGCAAAGAGCCCCAUAACACUGCCCAUUCUUUCCAGCCUGCCUGUCCUUUACACAGCUUGACAGGUGGAAACAAGAUUUCCCUGCUGUUUGCACUUCCUUUUAUGAGUUAUUUACUUUUUUUAACUUUUUUUUAUAAUCUGGAGCCUGUGUUUGAGACACUCCUGUGCCCACAGUUCUUCUCCUGGGGAAUCCAGACAGUGGCUGCUUGUGGCUUAGUCAUUGUUUAAACAAACCCACAGCUCAGCAGAGCUGUGUGAGGAGAACUGGCCUGCUUUAUUCAGUUUAUAGGUCUGUCCUCCAGAAAUAAAACUGUCUUUUUGACACAUUAGGCCCAAAUUUGCCAUAGUUACUGCAUUUGCCACAAUAAAACAGGCAGGACAAAAGAAGUCCAAACACUUCUGCAAGAAGCUUUAAAGAGCUUUGAAAGCUCUUUGUCAUUAUUUGUUCCAGAGUCCAGUCCCAGGAUCGUGUAAUUAAAAAUCAGCCCUUCAGUUCCAGCCUUGUGACAAUAUCCAGAAUAUUGUCAGAAUAUUCUGAGCUGGGAAGGGCCCACAGAGAUCAUCAAGUGAGGAUCCAUAAACUCUCAAGCCCAACAUUCCCACACCAAAAGCAGCAGAGCCCAACAGGUGGUGGGGAAAUGGAAAGAGGGAUUUAAUCUGCACUGGAAUUCAGAAUUUGCAGAGAGAGGUGAGGAGCAGAACACAGGAAGGGCAGGGACAAAUGAGCCAAGGAACUGCACAAAGAAGUGCAAAUGAGACAACCAAGCCACCAGGAGCUGCUCCCUCGGUUUAUGACAGUAAUUGUUUGCCUUUGUGUGCUCAUAAAGGCAUUUCAAAUAAACAGAACAUUUCCUAGUAUAGGCCAUGGCACUGUUUUCUUCCUGGUAGAAGUUUCAAGAAUACCAGAAAAUAUUAAGAUGCUGACACGUGAAACUCAACAAAAGAGCAACAAGCCUUUUCCUGUUAUUAAACAAACGGAAACUGUGACCCAUGAACCUAGACAGCAUUUGGGAUGAGCUCUGAGACACGUUUCAGGUAAAAUCUGAGUUCCAUAGGAUUGGUCCUGUGCAGAAAUCUUAAAGCACAUUCCUGGAUCAGGCAUGGAAUGGAGUGACACCAGAUUUUCAUUUUGUUAUAUGAUAAAAUAACUUAUUCUGCUUCCUUAGCAUUGUAAAUGAGGUAAAAGUUUUGGAGCCAAACUCAGUUUUAGCUGUUACACUCCCAGCUAUGGGAAUUAUAAAUCACUGG